GUCUUUAAGAAAUUAAUUUAAAGUCUAAUCUGCCCAAUGAAAUUAAUUUAAAUGGCUGCAGAAUAUUAACUGUACAAAGGUAGCAUAAUAAUUUGUUUUUUAAUUAAAAACUAGAAUGAAAGAUUUGAUGAAAUAUAGACUGUUUCAAUUAAAUUAUUAUAUUAAAUUUUUUAUUUAAGUAAAAAAACUUAAAUAAUAUUUAAAGACGAUAAGACCCUAUAGAAUUUUAUUUAUUUUAUUUUAAUUUAAAAUAAAAUAAAUUUUAUUGGGGUAAUAAAAAAAUUUAAAAAAUUUUUUUUAAAAAUAACAUUUAUACUUGUAUAUUUAAUCUAAUUUUAUUAAUUAUAAAAAUUAAUUACCUUAGGGAUAACAGCAUAAUUUUUUUUAAAAGAUCUUAUUAAUAAAAAAGAUUAU
RNAcentral lists this ribosomal RNA (414 nucleotides) under Hybogaster sp. (in: wasps, ants & bees). RNAcentral's name for it is "Hybogaster sp. (in: wasps) partial 16S ribosomal RNA". Lineage: Eukaryota; Metazoa; Arthropoda; Insecta; Hymenoptera; Braconidae. The record is from RNAcentral.